This 371-nucleotide RNase P RNA is filed under the name Clostridiales bacterium. RNAcentral describes it as "RNase P RNA component class A". It matches the Rfam family "Bacterial RNase P class A". From Rfam's summary of the family: Ribonuclease P (RNase P) is a ubiquitous endoribonuclease, found in archaea, bacteria and eukarya as well as chloroplasts and mitochondria. Its best characterised activity is the generation of mature 5'-ends of tRNAs by cleaving the 5'-leader elements of precursor-tRNAs. Cellular RNase Ps are ribonucleoproteins. Lineage: Bacteria; Bacillati; Bacillota; Clostridia; Eubacteriales. The record is from RNAcentral.
UGAGCAGUACAUGCAAUCGCGGGCGGGUCAUGCAGAUCCGCGUGAGGAAAGUCCGUGCUCCACAGGGCGAGGGUGCCGGCUAACGGCCGGCGGGGGUGACCCCAGGGAAAGUGCAACAGAAAAUAACAGCCUUAACAGGCAACGGUGAAAAGGUGAGGUAAGAGCUCACCGGCCAAAUGGUAACAUGCGGCGUCAGUGUAAACCCCAUCCGGAGCAAGACCGUAAAGGGAGGUAAGUGCCGAAAGGUAUACUGCCUGAAAGGGAGCUGCCCGUUCCUUCCCGAGAAGGUAGGUCGCUUGAGGCCUGUGGUAACACAGGUCCUAGAAAGAUGAUUGCUUAACACAGAACACGGCUUAAGUGCUGCUCAUGGU